UUUAAAGAGAGUUUGAUCCUGGCUCAGGACGAACGCUGGCGGCGUGCCUAAUACAUGCAAGUCGAACGAACGGAGGAAGAGCUUGCUCUUCCAAAGUUAGUGGCGGACGGGUGAGUAACACGUGGGCAACCUGCCUGUAAGUUGGGGAUAACUCCGGGAAACCGGGGCUAAUACCGAAUGAUAAGGUGUGGCGCAUGCCACGCUUUUGAAAGAUGGUUUCGGCUAUCGCUUACAGAUGGGCCCGCGGUGCAUUAGCUAGUUGGUAGGGUAAUGGCCUACCAAGGCAACGA
This 290-nucleotide ribosomal RNA is filed under the name Listeria monocytogenes. RNAcentral's name for it is "partial 16S ribosomal RNA". It matches the Rfam family "Bacterial small subunit ribosomal RNA", at positions 1 to 279 of the family's 1533-position model. The record is from RNAcentral. Lineage: Bacteria; Bacillati; Bacillota; Bacilli; Caryophanales; Listeriaceae.